GGCGUGCUUACACAUGCAAGUCGCACGAGAACGCUUCAGCUUGCUGAAGUUAGUAAAGUGGCGCACGGGUGAGUAACGCGUGGGUAAUCUGCCCCCGAAUUUGGGAUAACAUUGCGAAAGCGAUGCUAAUACCGGAUAAUAUCUUUAAUACUUCGGUAGUUAAGAUCAAAGAUGGCCUCUACACGUAAGCUAUUAUUUGGGGAUGAGCCCGCGUACCAUUAGCUUGUUGGUAGGGUAAAGGCCUACCAAGGCAACGAUGGUUAGCUGGUCUGAGAGGAUGAUCAGCCACACUGGAACUGACACACGGUCCAGACUCCUACGGGAGGCAGCAGUGAGGAAUUUUGCGCAAUGGGGGAAACCCUGACGCAGCAACGCCGCGUGAGUGAUGAAGGCUUUCGGGUCGUAAAGCUCUGUCAAGUGGGAAGAACCCACAUGGUAAUAAUACUACCAUGUGCUGACGGUACCACUGAAGGAAGCACCGGCUAACUCCGUGCCAGCAGCCGCGGUAAUACGGGGGGUGCAAGCGUUAAUCGGAAUUACUGGGCGUAAAGCGCACGCAGGCGGUCUGUCAAGUCGGAUGUGAAAUCCCCGGGCUCAACCUGGGAACUGCAUUCGAAACUGGCAGGCUGGAGUCUUGUAGAGGGGGGGUAGAAUUCCAGGUGUAGCGGUGAAAUGCGUAGAGAUCUGGAGGAAUACCGGUGGCGAAGGCGGCCCCCUGGACAAAGACUGACGCUCAGGUGCGAAAGCGUGGGGAGCAAACAGGAUUAGAUACCCUGGUAGUCCACGCUGUAAACGAUGUCGACUUGGAGGUUGUUCCCUUGAGGAGUGGCUUCCGGAGCUAACGCGUUAAGUCGACCGCCUGGGGAGUACGGCCGCAAGGUUAAAACUCAAAUGAAUUGACGGGGGCCCGCACAAGCGGUGGAGCAUGUGGUUUAAUUCGAUGCAACGCGAAGAACCUUACCUACUCUUGACAUCCAGAGAACUUAGCAGAGAUGCUUUGGUGCCUUCGGGAACUCUGAGACAGGUGCUGCAUGGCUGUCGUCAGCUCGUGUUGUGAAAUGUUGGGUUAAGUCCCGCAACGAGCGCAACCCUUAUCCUUUGUUGCCAGCGAUUCGGUCGGGAACUCAAAGGAGACUGCCAGUGAUAAACUGGAGGAAGGUGGGGAUGACGUCAAGUCAUCAUGGCCCUUACGAGUAGGGCUACACACGUGCUACAAUGGCAUAUACAAAGAGAAGCGACCUCGCGAGAGCAAGCGGACCUCAUAAAGUAUGUCGUAGUCCGGAUUGGAGUCUGCAACUCGACUCCAUGAAGUCGGAAUCGCUAGUAAUCGUGGAUCAGAAUGCCACGGUGAAUACGUUCCCGGGCCUUGUACACACCGCCCGUCACACCAUGGGAGUGGGUUGCAAAAGAAGUAGGUAGCUUAACCUUCGGGAGGGCGCUUACCACUUUGUGAUUCAUGACUGGGGUGAGCC
This 1472-nucleotide ribosomal RNA is filed under the name uncultured bacterium. Its description in RNAcentral is "partial 16S ribosomal RNA". It matches the Rfam family "Bacterial small subunit ribosomal RNA". The record is from RNAcentral.